UCUGCUCAUGGUGGCCACGGCCCACGAGAAGAUCGUGCAGGCUCUGUCCAACUCGGUCGGGGAGAUCCAUAUGAAGACCAUGCCCGCCGCCAUGUUCCGGCUCCUCACGGGCCAGGAGACCCCGCUGUACAUCUAGGAGCCGAGGCCGGACCCCACGCUGCCCUGACGAGGGUCUGUCUUCCUCCAAGGAGAGCAGGGGCAGUCCGCAGGGCAGUCGGUGUGUGCGCAUCUAGCUGUUCUCGUCGCGGUGCACGAGGUGUGUCUACCUGUGCUGUGCAGUCUGUCCUCCGAGCCCCAGUGCGUCCCCGGAGACAGCGAGCUCCUGGGGCGGCAGGGAAGGGGUCCUGGGAGGCCCCCACUCUCAGGACAUCCGUGUAAGUGAUGUUGGGGAGACACGAUUGUCUUGAACUCUGAGGAGGAGCCGUCGCCGAGUUAAAGAAAGGACGAGGCCACCACAUCCAGCUCCAUCCUUAGAAACCCCACGGGGCUGACUUAACGCCACAGGCCCCUCCUCAGACCCCAGGGUUUCCAGGUGACCCACCUGCUGCCCGUCCUCACCUGUCCACGUGGGCUCCUCCCGGGGACAAGGCGGGCAGCCUGGGCAUCGCCCCUCUUUACAAUCCCUGUCGACACACACGUGCUUCCCAAACACAGAAACCUCACCCCCUGCGCCUCCUGGGGCCAGGCACCUCCCGGGAGCAGCCCCGGCGGGUGAAGGUGACCCCACCCUGGCCCCGCCCCGAGGUCAGUGCUGGCCGACGGCGCGUGUCCGGGAGAUACACUGUGAUAAGAAGCCUUACCCGCUAACAACCACGCUCGGAUUCCCGUCGGCACGGCGUGCCGUGUGCUGCAUGCGCCACGUAGGAAGCCUCGCUGACCCCUAAUAAACCCGACGUCGUCCUCAC
Molecule: long non-coding RNA, 905 nt
Organism: Myotis davidii
Lineage: Eukaryota; Metazoa; Chordata; Mammalia; Chiroptera; Vespertilionidae
Exons: 2
Source: RefSeq, a predicted model, not a curated record